GACGAACGCUGGCGGCGUGCUUAACACAUGCAAGUCGAACGGAAAGGCCCUGCUUUUGUGGGGUGCCCGAGUGGCGAACGGGUGAGUAACACGUGAGUAACCUGCCCUUGACUUUGGGAUAACUUCAGGAAACUGGGGCUAAUACCGGAUAGGAGCUCCUGCUGCAUGGUGGGGGUUGGAAAGUUUCGGCGGUUGGGGAUGGACUCGCGGCUUAUCAGCUUGUUGGUGGGGUAGUGGCUUACCAAGGCUUUGACGGGUAGCCGGCAUGAGAGGGUGAACGGCCACAUUGGGACUGAGAUACGGCCCAGACUCCUACGGGAGGCAGCAGUGGGGAAUAUUGCACAAUGGGCGGAAGCCUGAUGCAGCAACGCCGCGUGCGGGAUGACGGCCUUCGGGUUGUAAACCGCUUUCGCCUGUGACGAAGCGUGAGUGACGGUAAUAGGUAAAGAAGCACCGGCUAACUACGUG
This 468-nucleotide ribosomal RNA is filed under the name uncultured bacterium. RNAcentral's name for it is "partial 16S ribosomal RNA". It matches the Rfam family "Bacterial small subunit ribosomal RNA", at positions 28 to 507 of the family's 1533-position model. The record is from RNAcentral.